RNAcentral lists this ribosomal RNA (555 nucleotides) under uncultured bacterium. Its description in RNAcentral is "partial 16S ribosomal RNA". It matches the Rfam family "Bacterial small subunit ribosomal RNA", at positions 355 to 901 of the family's 1533-position model. The record is from RNAcentral.
UAGGGAAUCUUCGGCAAUGGGGGCAACCCUGACCGAGCAACGCCGCGUGAGUGAAGAAGGUUUUCGGAUCGUAAAGCUCUGUUGUAAGUCAAGAACGGGUGUGAGAGUGGAAAGUUCACACUGUGACGGUAGCUUACCAGAAAGGGACGGCUAACUACGUGCCAGCAGCCGCGGUAAUACGUAGGUCCCGAGCGUUGUCCGGAUUUAUUGGGCGUAAAGCGAGCGCAGGCGGUUUGAUAAGUCUGAAGUUAAAGGCUGUGGCUCAACCAUAGUUCGCUUUGGAAACUGUCAAACUUGAGUGCAGAAGGGGAGAGUGGAAUUCCAUGUGUAGCGGUGAAAUGCGUAGAUAUAUGGAGGAACACCGGUGGCGAAAGCGGCUCUCUGGUCUGUAACUGACGCUGAGGCUCGAAAGCGUGGGGAGCGAACAGGAUUAGAUACCCUGGUAGUCCACGCCGUAAACGAUGAGUGCUAGGUGUUGGAUCCUUUCCGGGAUUCAGUGCCGCAGCUAACGCAUUAAGCACUCCGCCUGGGGAGUACGACCGCAAGGUUGAAACG